UGUCACGUGAACAAGGUUAUAGAAAAGAUUGAAAAGACUACAAACUAUUGUGUGAGGAAUCACUCCUCUUGUAACUAUGCAGACGUGCAAGGGGUAGAGUUAAGGGCUAUGUGUACAGUCCUGACUUCAUAGUAUUUCUCAUUGUGAGUGUUUAACAGUGCAACUCUGUUACUCUUCUAAUGAAGUAUUUUUCUAAUGGAGUUUGAGGGGAUUUUGUUCAAAAUGGAAACCAGAAAGAUUCUGGAAUACUAAAGAUAGAUGGUGUGGAGGGACAAGUGCUCCAAAUAAGGCCCCUCCUGAUCUGACUUAAGCUCUGUCAGACCUGCUUAUCCUGCACAACCCAGUCCCUUGCCCCCACCUGCAUGCGUGCUGCCAGCCUGCAGAUUCAAUGCUCUCCUGGCCACCAUGUGAGUCGAGCCUUGCACACUUUGCAGUCCUGCACCUUUCCUGCUGUGGGCCCAUGUUAUUAUGGCCCGUGUGUGUGAAGCUGUCACAGCAGGGAGCGCUCCACCUGUAGUCUGACCACAGGGGAUGCUUGAUUAUUAAGCUCAGCAGCAGGGUUCAAACACAUCAUAAUGGGUGAAGCUCCUUUGGCACCAAGACCAGGAGUUUUGCUGCUUGAGCUGCUCCUGGAGAGCCUAGGGCUAGCAACAAUUCCCAGCACAUGCCUCAGGUACAGCUCUGCAUUGUCCGGAGAUGGUUCUGCCUCCAACGUGGGGGAGCAGAAGGGAAGUGGACCUGCUUCAGUGUACUUUUUGCCACCUGUCAGCACUCUGCUUGAGGUCUGGCCAGCUGGUCCCCACACCUGCAAGCUCGUUAUGCAUCAAUGAGGGCAUAUUGUGGCAGUGGAGUCAUGCACAUGUGGCAAUAAGCCAGCAUUGUGCAUCACCUGAUGAUUGCUGACAGGUGGGUCUGUAUCACCAGCUCACAUGGCAGGUUGCUGUGGUUACUGCAGAACCACUGAGGCUCUGCUGAGGAGGGACUGGCAAAAAGGCAGAGGAGCAGUGCCUGUAGGAACUUGCUGGAUGACUCUCUCCAGGAAAGAUAGCUUGAUGUAUCGUCCUGGCCUCCUGCCACUUCUCCUUGGUAAGGGUCUAUUUUAUUAACAUUGUCAAGACUAUAGGUCUAGAAGGAUGAGAAUGGAGGAAGUCUGUGGAUUCAGUGACUGGAGCAAAUCACUUACUAGGCAGCAAUUUCGGUUUCAGGCCUUGGCUCAAUUCCAAACUGUGAUGGGGCUUAGUCUAUUAGUCACAAUCAAAUAAACUGGGAGCUGGUCCAUAGUGAACUUCCUUACACUAGGUUGGCCACCAAAGGUCUGACAUCAGGCAGGGGUGACCAGAGCAGGAUGUGCCCAUGGUGCAUUUCUGCAGACUUGGUCAAAUCAAUGUGUCCUUGAAAGAGAAAGAAAAGAAUUUUUCCUGACUGAGGCAUUAGUUACAUCAACUACAAAUAGCAGCAGAUGUCCCUGACUUAGUCAGCUUAUUAAAGACAGCCUGAAUUUCAUGCGCUCGUGAAUGGCAAAUUAAAGCCAAACUAUAUAGAGGAAGGUUUUGCAUUUUGGGGUGGAUCACUGCUGUGCCUAAUUUCAAGUUUUUGACCCUUGAACAAUUCAGCUGAAAGAAUAUCAAAACAUUCUAAAUACAUUUUCAAGAUAUGAAAGUUUCUGGUGGGAAAGUUUUUGAAAAGUUAUGAGCAAUAGGAAAAUAACUGUGCAGUAGCAAUUAUUCUGCAGUUUUAUUGUAAUGACUAGUGCUCAGCAGUGGCAUAACUGUACUCUAAUCCCCACCAUACUCCUGUUUUCUUUCUGUAUUGCUGGACUUCACACAUUAAAGUGAUAUCCUAGAUGGAAAAGAAUCAGGAACUGGAUGCCCAUUCCUAGUACUGAACUACACUAUUACCCUAUGCAUACAAUAUCUUGUAUUUCACUGAUGUACUUGCUUAUUGUACAGCAAUAUUUUCCAGGUGAGCUUUUUUUUUUAUAUGGUUUUGUUAGAUUCUUUUCUUGCAGUGCUGGUGAUGGUCCACCACGUACGGUUCUUUUGCUUGGCCUUCUGAUGAGCUCCAUAAACAGACAUCUCGUGCAGUAGGAACUGUCCUGUUAUUUCAUAAGCAUCUCGUGUGCUUGAGGUCAGUGGGAUUAGCACAGGGUUAGUAUGCAUGCACAAAUAGUUUAUAAAGCUCCUUUAACUAUGAAGCCCCAAAAAGGAUAUUACAUUUUUAUUACAAAACUGUUUUUCAUUUCUCUACAAAGAAAAUACAAAGUUCCAGGCAUUCUCACGGUUUGCUGUCAUACUUCAGAUCUGAAGAAGGAAAAGGAAGUGAAUUUCCAUCGCUUUUCUUCUUCAGACCACAGUGCUUUUUUCUCACUUUGUUUCCCAGCUCCAUCACUACAUGCACAUCCCAGCCCAGCAGAGCUUCCUGCUAACGACGAGCUACGGCCGGAAGGAACUGCAGCAUCGUUAUUCAUACCUUUAGGAUCCCACUAAGCUCGAUUCGUUCCUGCUUCUCUACCAGGAGUGCUGGGGCAGCCUUGUAGGGAGCUCACUUGUUUCCUACGAUUUAGCACUUGUCUGUAAGUUACGUUCUUGUUCCCCUCUGGUAACUGGCUUUUCUACGCGGCCUCCUAAAUAGAGUCACGCAGGUUCCCCAGCCCCAAACCUCGCCUGCUCUCCAGCUGCGUUCGUGCCACGUCCUCCGCCUUCCCAUUGCUGAAACCAGCUGCCACAGAGCAGCCCGGCCCUCCUGCCGCCGCGCGCUCCCCCGGCUGCGGUCAGACGCGCGUCCGGCCUCAGCCGCCCUCCCAGCCCCGGGACGGCCGCGAGCCCGGCCACGCGGCGCUUCGCUGCAGGCCGCGGGAGGAGCCGCCCCGAGGGCCGCGGUUGCGUUGCUCUCCGCCACGGCAGCAACGCGCCGUGUAGAAGGACGCUCAGCAUUGAGCAAAGCUCCCAAAGGCCCCGCGCCCACCGAGCCGGGAGCUGCGGCCCAUGGGAGCGGGACGCCGGGCGCACACGGCCCGUCGCCAUGCCAACCGGCGCUCCGUCCGCGUCCCCCGAGCUUCGCCGGCAGCCCUCCGCUCCGACGCCCAAUCGCCGACCGCGAGAGAUGGCGGCCGAGCUUCUGUUGGGCGACGCUCACGUCAGUCAACACGUCCGGAACCGUGAACAGCAGUAGUGUGAUGCAGCGACUGCAAGGGAGGACUGUGAGCACAGCGACACGUGACGUUUUGAUAUCAGAAGCAUCUAAAAUUGACAAAGCUUUGGUAACAGAAAAGUUGCAAGCAUAAUUCCUCAUUAAUAACUCCAUUUGUGUUAUUGUUCUGCCUAAAACUUGUUCCUGCUUUCCAAAGAAGGCAAAACAGGAAAAAUAUUAAAUUGAUGUGAAAAAUUUAAGUCUAAUACGUAUUUCAAACUGUCUGAUCUGUGCAUGGGAGGAAGAAAAGAUUAAAGCUGCAAUACAACAGCCUGCCUUUAGAAAGUGAGCUGGGAGGAGGAAGUCAGUACCAAGGAAUGUUCUCACCAAAGAGACACCCCCCCUGCAAAUGGAGAUGGACCACCAAAAUGGAAAAAUCAAAGCAAAGCCAGCAUCUUUGCAUUGUAUUCAGGUGUUCAGCAAUGUGAACGAUCGUGGAGAGUUUAACAUUUGAGGAGUGGAAGAUGGUCUCAUUUCAGAAGCUCGGCGCUGUGCAGCAGGUACAGACUGUCGCCUUUUGCUUGGCAGAGGUCCUUGCAACACAAACCCAGGUAUCUAGGAAGAAGGAACAGCAGGUCUGCUCCUCAUCUCCAAGGGUUUGCUCUGACUUCAGAGACAUUCGGAGUACCCUGUUAUACCUUCUAGGAGUACCUGCAUUUAAAAUCUCACCCUUUUUCUGUUGGUGUUUACAGAGUUGUAAGAGAAUGAAGGUUAAUGGAUUACUGGCAAUGGCAAAAGCAAACUUUUUAUAGUAACUUUUAUUUUUAAAUUAAUAAGGUCAGCAUGUGGAUGGAAGCAUUCUGGGUGCUUUUCCUUUAAGUGCUCAGAUAAAAUCGCUAAUCUCUGUCCUGGGGCUGCAUACUUUCCUUGGUUCAUGCACAGUGCUUCAGUGAAUUGAGCAAGUGCUCAGUGUUUGGCAGAGUUCAGCUCUUCCUUGUGCAGUGUAACUGGGAGCAGUUUGGGCUACUUCCAGUCCUUCUGAUCAUGUGCAGGUCACAGCACAGGCCAUGAUAUGCCUGAACCAACAAACUGGUCAGCUCAACCCAGUGCCUUAUUGUCACCUUGUGGCUCCUUGGUGUUGCAUGCAUAGUGCAGAAAUGUGUAGAUUUGAGUUUCCUCUGCCUGACUGUAGCUGACCUAAGGAAAGAAAAAAGGAGUGAGCAAAAUCAUGUUCUCUGUUAUUUCUGUGCAUCUUUACUGAUUUUAAUUAUAUGGUCUGAAUGAAAAUGAGAAUGGAACAAUUUGCCUUGGGCCUGUACAUGUAUCCAUUAUGUCUUAGUCACAUGCUGAAAACAUCCGUAAACCUACUCAUCGGUUUAUAUAUUGCUGGUCUGACUUUUUAGAAAUACAGCAGAAAAUACAGAGAAUCCUGGCUCUUAUUAGAAGAGCAGUGCAACUUGCAAAUAUUUGAUUGGUUCUCUUCUUGUCUAACUCUUCUGUGUAAAACUCAUUUACUGUUUUUCCUUUUAAACUGCUAGCUGACCUUACAUAUGAAUCCCAGCUGUGCAUUAGCAUUGCUUGGGGAUGUGUUUGUAUCUUUUGUCUAAAAAUACCCAGCCGGUAGGAUUCAUGAUCCAUGAAAGCUAAUUGAAACAAUUUCUCUUCAAGUUUUGGCAAGCGAAGCAUGCAUUAUAAGCAUUAAUAUCUAUAAAUUGAAUUGUUAAUGAAUCUAGACACUAAUAAUGAAUGCAAUUUUGCAGGCUUAACUAGAAACACUAAAAUUAUCAGGAUCUGG
Molecule: non-coding RNA, 4924 nt
Organism: Phasianus colchicus (ring-necked pheasant)
Lineage: Eukaryota; Metazoa; Chordata; Aves; Galliformes; Phasianidae
Source: RefSeq, a predicted model, not a curated record